UACGGGGGGGGCAAGCGUUGUUCGGAAUUACUGGGCGUAAAGGGCGCGCAGGCGGUCAUUUUUGUCGGGUGUGAAAGCCCCGGGCUUAACCUGGGAACUGCGCUCGAAACGGGAUGACUAGAGAUCGGGAGAGGAGAGUGGAAUUCCCAGUGUAGAGGUGAAAUUCGUAGAUAUUGGGAAGAACACCGGUGGCGAAGGCGGCUCUCUGGGCCGAUACUGACGCUGAGGAGCGAAAGCGUGGGGAGCGAACAGG
This 253-nucleotide ribosomal RNA is filed under the name uncultured bacterium. RNAcentral describes it as "partial 16S ribosomal RNA". It matches the Rfam family "Bacterial small subunit ribosomal RNA", at positions 524 to 776 of the family's 1533-position model. The record is from RNAcentral.